CGAGGAAGGGAGCUGACUAUCACUUAGCGGCGGACGAGGUGAGUAAUGCUGUAGGAAUCUGCCUAUUACAUGGGGGACAACAUCUCGAAAGGGAUGCUAAUACCGCAUACGUCCUACGGGAGAAAGCAGGGGAUCACUUGUGACCUUGCGCUAAUAGAUGAGCCUAAGUCGGAUUAGCUAGUUGGUGGGGUAAAGGCCUACCAAGGCGACGAUCUGUAGCGGGUCUGAGAGGAUGAUCCGCCACACUGGGACUGAGACACGGCCCAGACUCCUACGGGAGGCAGCAGUGGGGAAUAUUGGACAAUGGGGGGAACCCUGAUCCAGCCAUGCCGCGUGUGUGAAGAAGGCCUUAUGGUUGUAAAGCACUUUAAGCGAGGAGGAGGCUUUUUUGGUUAAUACCCGGGAUGAGUGGACGUUACUCGCAGAAUAAGCACCGGCUAACUCUGUGCCAGCAGCCGCGGUAAUACAGAGGGUGCAAGCGUUAAUCGGAUUUACUGGGCGUAAAGCGCGCGUAGGCGGCCAAUUAAGUCAAAUGUGAAAUCCCCGAGCUUAACUUGGGAAUUGCAUUCGAUACUGGUUGGCUAGAGUGUGGGAGAGGAUGGUAGAAUUCCAGGUGUAGCGGUGAAAUGCGUAGAGAUCUGGAGGAAUACCGAUGGCGAAGGCAGCCAUCUGGCCUAACACUGACGCUGAGGUGCGAAAGCAUGGGGAGCAAACAGGAUUAGAUACCCUGGUAGUCCAUGCCGUAACGAUGUCUACUAGCCGUUGGGGCCUUUGAGGCUUUAGUGGCGCAGCUAACGCGAUAAGUAGACCGCCUGGGGGAGUACGGUCGCAAGACUAAAACUCAAAUGAAAUUGACUGGGGGCCCGCACAAGCGGGUGGGAAGCCAC
RNAcentral lists this ribosomal RNA (887 nucleotides) under Acinetobacter baylyi. RNAcentral's name for it is "bacterial SSU rRNA". It matches the Rfam family "Bacterial small subunit ribosomal RNA", at positions 67 to 944 of the family's 1533-position model. The record is from RNAcentral. Lineage: Bacteria; Pseudomonadati; Pseudomonadota; Gammaproteobacteria; Moraxellales; Moraxellaceae.